Molecule: long non-coding RNA, 428 nt
Organism: Rhipicephalus sanguineus (brown dog tick)
Lineage: Eukaryota; Metazoa; Arthropoda; Arachnida; Ixodida; Ixodidae
Exons: 2
Source: RefSeq, a predicted model, not a curated record
AUUCCAGUGACACCAAGAGUGUAUAAAUGCCAGCAAAAACGGCUCCAACCUAGGCGGACCCACAGACGUUGAUCGACACGUUGAAGCUGUGGCUCCCAGAGCAGGGCACCGCUGUAAUCUUUGCCCCUACGUGUCGAAGUCUGCGGCGAAAUUGAAACGGCACCUGUUAACUCACAGCAAGGAGAGACCGUUCAAAUGCACACUCUGUUGCAAGACCUUUGCCCGAUCCGACACACUCACGGAUCAUUUGCGUGUGCACAGUGAAGAAAAACCGUACCACUGCAAUAUGUGCUCAUAUAGAGCUUUUAAUAAGAAGACGUUGGUGCGGCAUUGGAAAAUCCACGCUAACAAGAAUGAUGCAGACACUUCUUGAUGUGUAUAAGACUUGUGCAGGCAUGUUUGCUUUUGAAUAAAGUAGUGCUACUGUG